This 83-nucleotide transfer RNA is filed under the name Thermoanaerobaculia bacterium. RNAcentral's name for it is "tRNA-Leu". It matches the Rfam family "tRNA". From Rfam's summary of the family: Transfer RNA (tRNA) molecules are approximately 80 nucleotides in length. Their secondary structure includes four short double-helical elements and three loops (D, anti-codon, and T loops). Further hydrogen bonds mediate the characteristic L-shaped molecular structure. tRNAs have two regions of fundamental functional importance: the anti-codon, which is responsible for specific mRNA codon recognition, and the 3' end, to which the tRNAs corresponding amino acid is attached (by aminoacyl-tRNA synthetases). tRNAs cope with the degeneracy of the genetic code in two manners: having more than one tRNA (with a specific anti-codon) for a particular amino acid; and 'wobble' base-pairing, i.e. permitting non-standard base-pairing at the 3rd anti-codon position. Lineage: Bacteria; Pseudomonadati; Acidobacteriota; Thermoanaerobaculia. The record is from RNAcentral.
GCCGAAGUGGCGGAAGGGUAGACGCCGCGGACUUAAAAUCCGCUGCCGGCAACGGCGUGGGGGUUCGAAUCCCCCCUUCGGCA